RNAcentral lists this long non-coding RNA (32412 nucleotides) under Citrus maxima (pomelo). RNAcentral describes it as "long non-coding RNA (CMAX_LNC003754)". The record is from RNAcentral. Lineage: Eukaryota; Viridiplantae; Streptophyta; Magnoliopsida; Sapindales; Rutaceae.
CUGGACAAUAUUGCCAACACCAAACUCCUUCCUCAAUUGAAACAUAUGAUCAGCCCACAAAUGCUUUGCUUUGUAGCUUUUGAGAGCCUGAAAUUGUUAUCACAACCAACAAUGAAAAUUGGGUGAAAAAAUUGAUAAUAUUAGCUUAAUUCCAUAUGUUUAUAUAGGAUAAACCGAUCAAAGAAUGAAAAAAGAUAGAAACAGAGCAGACCCAGCCAUCACUUUCUUCUUCAAAGUCGCACCAUAACCACAGUGGUAGUCGUUCCACUGCCAGCCUAAUCCUUGGUCACCCCAAUGUUCUCCAUGAAGUAUUCAAAGUCAACCUAAAAAUAAAUAAAAAUGCAAUGCAGGUGGAAAUGAAAAUUCUAUAAAUUAAAUAAAAUAAAAAUGCAAUGCUUGAGCUUGAGCUUGCUUUAGCAUCAUCGUAAUAGUAAAUUUUGAUAUAUCUUUACUUCUCUGUUCUUGUUUAUUCACAACAAGAUAUCAAUAGAAGAAGAUGGAAAUGAAAUUCUAUAAAAUAAAGCAAGUGAAUUACCAACAGAACAUUUUAGCAAUCCUUUGGCUAAACUUUUCAUUUUCUUAGCAUACUCUCCUGCCUGGUGAACAUAAUUAAACAAGUAUGAAAUAAAACAAAGUGGGCUAAUGUAGUAAAAACAAUAACACAAUUACUUUAAAGAAUUAAUGUCACGUAUAUUAUAUAUAAAAAAAUACGAUUAUCAUUAUAUAAGAUAAAAUUGAUAAUUUAGUUUUCAACAUUACUGCAAACGUAUCACAGAGAUUUUGUUACACAUAACAAAUUUUCGUACAUAUGAAAAUAAAUUACAUUGCAUGAAAUUUUACAAAAGAGCACAUAUUUUUUAAAAGUAAAUAAAUAUAGAAAUUUCAACAGACUACACUUGUAUUUUUUUUUAAUUAUUUAAUCUUUAGAAAACAAGUUUAACAGAUUUGAUAACUAGGAAGUUUUACGUAUUUAUACCAUGAUUGAUUCUAUAUAGAAUUUUAAUUCAAAAUAUAAUUAUUUUUAUUAAUUUCAUUGCAAGCAACAACGAAGUAAAUUAGAGGAGGAGGAGAAAUUACCGGCGAGUGAUAAAUUACCGCGACCACUUGAUGUGGGGAAUGCGAGAUAUCUUAUGCCAGUCUUCUCCUUUCCCCUCUCUAUAACGGUUUUCCAGAAGAGGACAUCUGUCAAUAGUCAAUUCCUGCAGCGUCGUCGUCCGAAGAAGGUAAUCCGGCAGCACCUUUAAUUUGGGGCAAUACUCAAUUACCAAGGAAGAAAGACGUGGUAUGUCUGUUGUCCUGUGAUCUUCUAGAAUGGGCAGUUCUUCCAUAUUUGCACAAAAAGAAAUCCUCAGUUUCUGCAGUGCCGUCGUUCGAAGAAGGUAAUCCGGCAGCGCCUUCAAUUUGUUGCAAGAACGAACUUCCAAGGAAGAAAGACGGGGCAUGAUAGAGAUGUUUUCCUUCCUCGUAAUCCUGUAAUUCCACUCUUCCAAUUCUUCCAUGUCCCAAAUUAUGAGUGAUUUCAAUUUGGGGAAGGCAGUAACUGAUGAUGAUGAUGAAGAUGAAGACGGGCCAUCCUCACUGCUUUCUUCUAUUCCCAAAAACUCAUUACCCACUCUUUUUACACUUUUCAAGUACCAUAGUUCGAGUUUUUCCAGAGGCAAUUUUCCCAAAGGAGGCAAAUGCUCACACUUAAGGCACGAGCGAAGAUAUAAAUUCCUUAGAUUGGUCAGUGAAGUCAACCAUUUGGGAAAAAUGUUGCGUCCAUAUAAUAUAAUCCCUAAUUUCUCUACACUCAAAGGCGGUUGUAAGGCUUUAAGAAGUUGUUCAUCUUUCUCUUUCUUCCUCCUCCUUUCUUCAUCUUCCCCAUCUACGACUCUACCAAACUCAAGACGCAAACGAAGGAGGUUUUGCUGAUUGUAAAGUUGUAAUCUCUCGACCUCAUCUAAACGGGACACAUUACCCAGCCCUUCAAUUCCACAUUCUCGAAGGAGUUGAAGAUUUUUCAGAGAUUCAAGCCUACAAGUAUUGCUACCAUCAACACCUCCACCCACCACAAACUUGUCUAAUGUUCGAAGACUGGUUAAUUUGGAAAUCCCUACUGGCAUGUAUUUCAACGAAUAAGUUUCAGCAUUCAGUAAACUCCUCAUGUUCUUUAACUUCCCAAUCCCCGCUGGCAAUUCUUUAAGAUUUCGGCACCGCCUAAUAUCUAGCUUUUGUAAAUUAUAUAAUUCACACAAAGUCUUAGGUAGUCUCUCUAUGCCUAAUUCAGACAAAUUAAGAUAUCUUAAAUGUAUCAAUUUUCCGACAUUUUUUGGAAUUUCUCUAAUCAAACUUGAGUGAAGACGAACAGGCGAGGAUGAUAGCCUUAUAACUAAUGAUUCCCUUAUAACUAAUGCCCUCAAACAUGCCAAUUUACUAAAUAACUUUCGAGUUUCUCUAAUCUUAUAUGUGUUUGGACAAAAACAUAGGCGCAACAGCCUUAUAACUAAUGCCCUUAAACAUUCUUUGCUACUACUAAAAGACGAAAGGAUGCUACUAAGAGACAGAUUGAAAUCACUUCUAUCAUAAAUUAAAAGGGUACGCAAUCUAUCAAGUCCACGAAUGGAUAUAGGAAAUGAAGUGCCUCUUUGAAAAUUUAACCCUAAGUGACGGACUUUGUCACCAAAAGAGUUUAUGACUGAGUCUUUGGUACCAUUAAUUUCUACCCACAAACAUUCUUUUCUACUUACAAAUUGGGCAAAAUCAUGUAUUAUGUCAUGCAUCUUGCAGCUCAUAAUAUCAUCAUCAUCAUCUUUUUUAAACUCUUGAAAGAAAGAGCGUGCUGCUAAAAUGUUGAAAUACUCUUCCCCAAUCAUCUCCAUCUCUUCGUCUUCUUCUGUAUUAAGAUAACCUUGAGCCAUCCAUAGUGAAAUUAGUUCCUCUUUAUUCAUAUUGUAGUUUUUUGGAAAGACAGCACAAUAUGAGAAACAUUGUUUUACCAUAGAAUUGGAGGGCAAAUCGUUAUAACUCAACAACAAAGGAGCUAAAAGACCUUGCCCAAUUGCUUCUACUUUCCACAUUUCACUCUCUAAAAUUCUUUGCCACUCUUUUACUGUACUUUUAGAGCGCAAGAGAUUCCCUAUUACCUUUGCAGCAAGAGGCAGGCCUUUGCACUUAUGUGCAAUUUUGCGCCCGAUUGGUUCUAAUUUUUCACGAUCCUCAAAGGACCUACGUAGAAAUGCCAUCUGCUUAAACAGUAACCAACAUUCCCCUUCUCCCAACUCCUUGACAGGGAUAAUAUCUAUUGAUCCCAACUGUAGUGCAACUGACCUAUCACGUGUGGUAAUUAGAAUUUUACUUUCAUGGUGGCCAUUCUUUAGACAAGAAAAGAAUGGGUCCCAUUUUUUGUAAUCUACAUCCCACACAUCAUCUAAAACAAGAAAAAACUUUUUUCCUUCAAUUGAUGUAUGGAUAUGGCUCAUAAGAGAUUGGAAUUCGCUUAAAUCAUAAGCUUCUUUUGACUUGCCUAGACCUUCAAUGAUUGCUUUGGCAACCCUAAUCCUCUCAAAAGUGUCUGAUACACACACCCAUAUAACUUUUUCAAAAUUUCUUUUCACCUCAUCAUUAUUAUAGGCCAGUUGUGCAAGAGUGGUUUUACCUAUACCCCCUAACCCAACUAGUGAGAUGAUAUGAAGGCCUUCUUGUUGUUCACUACUUUGACACAACAACUUGCUUAAGAGCUCAUCUUUCUCAUUAACUCUACCGCAAACCUCUCCCUCAUCAAUCAAGGAGGUGGUUCGCACUCGCUCUGGUUUCUUGACAUUGUUACUCACAUUCUCAACAAAUUUAAACAUAUCUUUUCGAGUGGCAAUACCAUCUAGCUUUUCAUUGAUUUCCCUAAUCUUGACAGCAAUGUCAUGACGAAGACUGAGUUGUUUGAAACUGCCACAGCAGUUUGAUACAGCACAAAAGAAGGAACGUACCUUCUUCUUAUGAACGCCCUCAAUCUGCAAUUUGAGCCUUGCAGUGGUCCACUCCUCCAACACAUCUUCCAUGUCGUAAGAUGCGUCUUUGAGCUGAUCCAGCCAAAAAGUAACAUCUUUCUCGUGCUGCAUUUGCCUUUUCUCUGCAUCUUCCAGCACAAGUUGAAUGGCUUGUAGAUUGCUGGUGAGCUUUUUCACUUCUUCGUCGACACCAGUAACAAGCCUCACCUGUUGUUUCAGUUCAUCAGUUGCAACUGAGCUCAGCUGCUCCAGGAGAGAGGAAACGAUCGCAUCAACCAUUCUGACAAAGAAGAUGAGAAUUCUGAAGAGUUAUUAGAUGUGCUUUUGUUGCGAAGAUAUGAAAGAAAGGAGUUAUUGCAUUCUUUUAUACUGCAUAGAAAAGGUUUAUGCUUAUCCCCACCCCACACGUCAAUGAUUGUAGAAUGUUUAAUUUCCCUGAUUCUACUCCACUAGUUGUGAUGCGUAAUUAUAAAUAUUCUCAAGUUAUGUAUGAAAAUCCCACAAAUUUGGAUCUAGUAAUGAUUUUUAUGUAUUUUUUCAUAAUCUUCUAAAAUACUAUAUCUGCAUGUUAUUUCGUGCAGAAAUAUGGCAUUGGGUGAAAAAAGUUAUGCUUAUCCCCACCCACACGUUAGUAAUUGUAGUAGCAUCUGUAAUUUCCAUGAUUCUACUCCACGGACGAACACAUUUUUUGUACUAACAUCUUUAAAUUCCCACACGUUAGGAAUUUGGCACAUAAUCUCAAACUCGUCGCAUCUUUAACGUAUGAGGUUGAUGAAUAAAUUCUUUUCUCAUAUCAAUUUAAAACUCCGAGAUUAUGUGCCAAAUUCCUAACGUGUGGGAAUUUUACCUCCUAAGUAAUCCGGCCCACUGCCAAGUGCCAACUUUUUCUCUGUCGAGUUAAUGAUGUUGUUUUGUUUUCCUUGUUUUAAUUAAUGUUGCGGAGAGAAACAGAUCGAUGCAAAUGGCUAGCCAGGUUUUGCAGAAACCGUGAAUGGUCUUGCAUGCAUGUGACAUAAAGCUUUAUAUAUAGCUUAUUCCUCCAUCAACAUUUCAAUGGUUCCAUCUCACGUGCACUUGGCUAUGAAUAAGGUCCAUGCAUGGAUCGAUCGAUUUAGGAGUUUGGACCAUCUCAUGCUGCAGAGUUAUGUGUCAUGUAUGUGUGUUGACACUUGCCAGUUCAUUUUUGUUAUAAAGAUUAUUGAUACUCGUAAAUGUACUACUUACAAAUCAUAAAUUUUGAGUUUGACACUUUAGUUUCAUUUUGUAAUCCCUACGCUCUUUAAAUAUUUGUAAUAAUAUAUUUCAAACUUUAACUCAGACGUAAUGAAUGAAGGGGGAUCCUCUUCUUAUAUAAAUUUUUAUUUUUUAACGUUCAAGUUACAUUUGAUUACGUGUACUUAUUAUCUAGUUUUGACUAUCUAAUGACAUUUGAUUACGUGUACUUAUUAUAUGAUUUUUUUUUAAAUGAUGGGUCUGGUGAGAUUUUUUACAUCUUGGAUUAGUAGGUCAAGAACGGGCAGGGCAGGGCCUUCUCUGAAGUCAAUCUUGUGAGCAACACCAGCUUUUUGGAUAAUUGGCAGCCCCAAUUCAUAAUUUUCUCAGUUGAUGUCCAUGGCCAAAAUCUGCAACCGAAGCUUAUUCUACUCUUAUUAAUCGAGAGAUAAUUUUAUCUCUAACUAAUUUAAUUGGGAGGAAAAUUGAGAGAGAUAUCCACUCUGUCCUUAUUAAUUGAGAGAUAAUUUUACCCUUACCCAAUUUAAUUGGAAAGGAAAUCGAAUUCCAACAAUAACUAGGACUUGAAUCCAUGCACUUAAGCUAACUUUAAGUUUUAGGAUGCAUGGUUAUAAUGUUCUUUAUUUAAAUCCUAACAAAUGGUGGGACUUGAACUUGUGCCUACAAACAUUGAGUGCUUAGGGGCUGCAAAAUUUCAUAACUUAAUUUUAGUUGAUGUGGUAUGUGCCCUAUCACAUAAAUAUGUAGAUAAUAAUAAUUAAUACAUUAACAAAAUGAAAAAUAUUAGUUUACAAAAUACAAAUCCAAAUUUUUUGUGUGACAAGGGACUUAAAAGGGAGAGACUAAACAAAUGUGGUGAAAACGACAUGUAUUACUAAAACUAAAAAUACGAAGUCUAGGCAAUUGAAAACAUCGGGUUUUUUAUUUAAAUAUCCCCAAUUUGUCCUUAAAUACCAAAUUUAUACCCUAUUAUAUACAUAUACCUCACGAAGAUAGGGAAAAUAAAAAAUAACCUUAAAAAAAUCAAGAAUCCACACAUUUCUUCCUCUCAGUGCAGGAAGAUGUCGAGUACGAAGUCGGGUAAGUCGAGAAUUUAGUCGAGCAAGAAUUGGAGAUAAGUAAGUUGAGUAUAUGGUCCAGUAGGAAGUUGAGUAAGCAUAUUAAAUGAGUCCAGUAUUAAGUGGUAGAGUAUUAAGUAAAAGUCAAGUAAAUUUUUUAAACAAGUCAAAUAAAAUUUAUGUAAUUUUUAAAGAGGUUGAGUAUUAAGUCGGGUUAGUACAUUGGGUCGAGUGUUAAUAUUUUUAAAGAAGUGAAGUCUGGUAAGUUGAGCAUUCAGUCGAGUAAGAAGUUAAGGCAAUUGAAUAAGUCGAGUCUCUAGUCGAGUACGAAGUCGGGUAUAAAGUCUGGUAAGUUGAGCAUUCAGUCGAGUAAGAAGUGAAGGCAAUUGAAUAAGUCGAGUGUCUAGUCGAGUACGAAGUUGGGUAUGAAAUCUGGUAAGUUGAGCAUUCAGUCGAGUGAGAAGUGAAGGCAAUUGAAUAAGUCAAGUAUCUAGUCGAGUACGAAGUCGGGUAUGAAGUAUGGUAAGUUGAGCAUUCAGUUGAGUAAGAAGUGAAGGCAAUUGAAUAAGUCGAGUACGAAGUCGGGUAUGAAAUAUGGUAAGUUGAGCAUUCAGUCGAGUGAGAAGUUAAGGCAAUUGAAUAAGUCGAGUAUCUAGUUGAGUACGAAGUCGGGUAUGAAGUUUGGUAAGUUAAGCAUUUAAUCGAGUAAGAAGUGAAGGUAAUUGAAUAAGUCGAGUAUCUAGUUGAUUACGAAGUCGGAUCUGAAGUCUAGUAAGUUGAACAUUCAGUUGAGUAAGAAGUGAAAACAAUUGAAUAAGUCGAAUAUCUAGUCGAGUAAAAAAGUCGAGUAAGUAGAUUGAAUGAGUAGGGUAUUAAUUUUUUGUUGGCAUUUUAUUGAGGCUAUUUUUGUACUUUCUUUGGUUUUUUAAGUAUGUAUAUGCAAAGUACAGAUUUUAAUAGAUGGAUGUAUAUUUUGGGUAUUACGAGAGAAACGGGGUAUAUCCCACGCAAUUCCUUCGAAAACAUCUCUGUCAAUUGCAAUGAACAGAUCACAACCCUUCAUAAUUAAACAAAAUCAAACUUGAAAAAAAAAAUCACACACACACACACAAAACAAUCACAAAAACUAUUUGUUCUGAUCAUCCCUGCUUUUUUUUAGCGUAGCUCUUGGAAUGAAAAUUAACAAAAAGUGUCAAAAGAGAAGCAUUAAACACAGCAUUGAAGCACCAGCCCAAAAUCCCAGAGCAACCAAAUCCCGUAAAAUGAUAAUACAGCAUCAAAACCGAAACAACAAAACUAAACACAAACUGAACAAUCUAACAAUCAGUGACCAAUCUCUUCCACUUUGGCCGCAACCCCAUCACACACAAUAGAUAGUACCCGUACAUGAUCACAUGCACACUUGCAUUAGUCACAAGUGCAAUAGGAAACAAAGACUGCUUCGUCUGUAACCAAAGGUAGCACAUUACGACGACGGUUGCAUGGUGGUAGACGUGGAGGAACGUGAGCCAUUGGAUGGAUUUUGACAAAAUGAUCAAAAGGGUGUCUAAGAAUUCGAGUAUUUUGGAGAGGUAGAAGAGGUAAGCGUAGAAGAAGAGGGGCCAGACGGAGAAAUGGUGGGGGGGAAACAGAGGGUGUAAUGGAGGUGGGGCAAAUGGACGAUGAUGGAGAGAGUGCAGCCAACGGCCAUGAUGAGGGAGAGGAGGAGGAGGGUGAGGUUAUGGACGGCUGUGAUGGGCUUGAGGAUGUGGGGUCCAAUGAGAGGUGAUGAUGAUGGUGAUGUUGAUGUUGAUAUGUGGUAGAGGAUGAAUGUGAGGGAGAGGUAAGUGAGGAUGGAGAGAAUGAGGAAGUGUGGGGAAGAAGCUAGUGUUUGGUUCUGAGUCCAUGUGAAGCUGAGGAUUUGGGGGUGGUUUACAAGACAAUAUUGGAGUGUUGAGGUGAUUGAAUUUGAAGCCAUGGCUAGUUUUGGGGGAAGAAAGAUUUUGGAAGAGAUGAUGUUGAGAUGAACGGGGAGUUUAUAAAGUUUUGGGAUAAUGUGGAGGGUAUUUUGGACAUAUUGUUGUCUCAGCUUAAAUUUUGGGAAAAAGAUGAUCAAUAAGAAGCUCUUUUUUUCAUAUCAAUUUAAAACUCCGACGGUGUUUCCAAAAAUUGUUUUUCUUUUUCCGUUUUUAAUUUUAAAUCAUAAAUUUAGUAAAAGAAGUUGAAUCAAGUGAUCACUUUUUUUUUAAUGUAAAACAAUUAAUUUCUUUGUGAUUUAAGCAAAUAUUGAGUUGCAUACUUUAAAUAUAUUAAUAUUUGAUUCGAAAUUUCAUCUACCGAAACUACAAAAAUUAAUAUUUUCUAUUAAAUCAAAACCAAAAUUAAAGAUGACUCCUUGUCUGCCAACUGUCAUUAAACAAAGCCAUCACUCACGUGAAAAAAAAAAGUGAUAUAUUCAUUUUAACGUAAUUUCAUACCAACAUAUCAUUCUUUUUUUUCCAAUAAUGACCUCUUUAAUUAUAAAUAUGGUAAAAGGGGAUGGGUUCGAGGUAUGGCGUCCGGGCCUUUGUGACAACGGUAUCUUUGGACGUGGGUGUCGUUAGAUUUUUGGCUAUUUUCUGGUCAAUCAAACUGGUGGAUCACAUGCAUUUUAAUGACCUCUUUAAUUAUAAAAAUAUGGUAAAAGGGGAUGGGUUUAAGGAAUGGCGUCCAGGCCUUUGUGACAAAGUUGGAUGUGGGUGUCAUUUAGACUUUUGGCUAUUCUGCUCAAUCAAACUCGUGGAUUACAUGCACUCAACGCGGACAUUAUGGAAAUGGGAGAAAAUUAUGUUAGUAAUAGCAUCUUCAAAAGUUUCUAUACAUUUUACUCUUUAAAUAUUUAUUUACUUAUUUAUAUGAUAAAUAGAAAGGUAAAAAAAUAUAUUAUUCUCCAAAAAAACUCUUUCAAAUAAAAAUUAAGUUAAUAUUAUUUUAAUCAAAUAAUUAUUUUUUAAAGGAAAAGUUAACAGCAAUUAAAGCACUUCUCUUUCUCUCUCUAAUAAAAAGUAAUAAAAUAUUAAUUGAAGUGUUUUUUAGAACCUUAAAUGUUGAUGUGACUCUUCAAAUAAGUAAUAAAAUCUUAAUUGAAGAGCCUUUUGGUGAUGGUUUAAAACCCACUGUUUUCGUUCUAAACUAAGUGAAUUUAUCUCGUGAGCUAAGUAGUUUAGGAGAUAACUCAAAUAAUUAACUUUUAUUAGUUUAAUAAUAAGAAUUUUCGAUUAUAUUUUAAAAGGUAUAAUUCAUUACAAAAAAUUACUUAAUAAAAAUAACUUUAUUUAACAUAUUACAUUUUUUCAAUAAUAAAAUAAUUCAAAUUUUUAAUUAUUAUAACAAAAAAAAUUUGUAAUAUAAUCCAUUCAUAUACCACAUCACGUAAAAUUAACCUAGUACUACAUGUAAUCUUGUUACUACUAUUCCUAUAAUAUUCUACACAUCAUAUACUAUCAAAUUCCAUCCGGCAUGCCAAAUGUGCAAAGUUUGAGUAAGACUUGUUAAAGUUGAGAGUAACAUCUUAUAUGGCCAAGCGCAUUGAGUAUGGAUUUGCAUGAUCGAGUGAGUACAACUAAAGUCGGGUAGAGUCUGGAAAAUCCCUAUAAUGUUGAGGUUGGAGAACUAUACUUUUUAAGGUACAUAAUUAAACAAUUUUGGUAAAUAUUUACUAUUAUAACUUAAAAUUAAUUUGAUUUGAUCUCAUAUAUUAUUAUAAUAAAAAAACUUAUAAUAUCUUUAUUAAUUUUAUUAAAAAUUAUUAUUUAGAAGUCAUAUAUUUAUUACACAUUGUCAAAUUUUCAGCUUUUUGUUUUUUAACAACAGCUAGUAAUAUCAACAAGACCUAAGUUGAGUAUGAUCAAUUAAUUAAAAUUAUGAUUUUUUUUUGUAUAAAAUAAUCAUUAGAUAAUUAGUCUGUAAAGAAUAUCGGCUACUUCAAAUGGAAACUUGCGAUAAAAAAUGCAUCACAAAAGUAACAAUGACACACUAUAUAAGAAAUCUGAAAUAGAAUUUGCAAAAUUGAACUGAGUUACGGAGAGUAAAUAAGACUCAAAGGAAACAUGGGCAAUUAUUAUUAUCUAGGAAACAAUUCAUAGCUAAAACAAAAUUAACUAUACUUGCCAGGAAAUAUGGCGAAUUCCACCACCUCCUACAAGUUCUUAGGUGUCUUAGAGUUUGAUGACGACUUCCAUGCUGUCUCUUCGACAGGCAGCAAAAUUGGGCAAUUGACUACAUUAACUCCAAGAAAUUUAUGCAGUCACCUUCCUCCGGACUAUCCUCUUUCUUUGAGCUUUGGUUGCCCCUAUUUCCCCUUCAAUAGAGUCAUCACUGUUUUGUUUGAAGCCAAGGAGCCCAAGAUCAGAAAAAUGGCAUUCUUUGGUAUCAAUCCCUCGAUCCCAAAGUCACGUCACUAACUUUCUGUUGAUCGCGUAGCUAGUUCAUGUAUGCCACAGCAGCGGAAGGUAGCCUGAAGAGAAAAAACCUCUCUCUCUUUCUUGCUCAGUAACCACCUGGGCACUUUUGUGCUGAGCCAUGACAUCCUGAGAUGGCCUGUUGUGUAAGCCUUCUUCAAAAGGUCAUCUGUCGAUCUUUCUCCUAAUUAGACAUCCAAAACCCAGCAUGGAAUCCAUUUGAGAAGGUGGACAAUAGACAAACUCCAACGCAUACAGACAGUAAAGAAGAAUUUAGACGCAAUCACUGUGGCUGAAUAAAUGGGCCUAUUAAGCCUAUUAAAAGUUGGAACCAUAUUCACCACUCGCAGUUCCUUAGAGAACUUUAUCAGAAUUCUGAAAAUUUAAAACUAUUCUUACAUAUUUAACUGUAAAACAAGAGAAAUUGUACUUCCGUAGCAAAGUCUCACUAUUGGUAAGUAUCUGGACUUGGAAAGGAUGCUAGUUGAUUAAGUAAAGGAAAAUUGAAAUCAGACUUUGAGGUGAUAGAUCUAUAUACACUUUAAUCGGAACCACAUUAACAUCAUAUGAGCCAAACAAACAAAUUCCCCAGUCAAAGUUCAACAAACAAAACAUUAAAACAAGAGUAAUUUGGUGUAUCAAUGUAUAUAUAGAGAUGUCGAUCAUUGACAAAUACGUAAAAGAGGGAGGGAGAGACCUCAAAGCCGUGCUUAACAACAUUGCUACUCCAAUAACUUCAAAAUGGUUGGCGACGUCUCUAUCAAAGCCACACAAUAGCUGAUAUCUCAUGUUUGCAUGUAGUCCAAUGAAAGCACCAUAACCAAGAACAUUAGUACUCACAGAUGGGUUUGUCACAGAUAACCUGUCAGGCAAUAAAAAUUGCCCAAAUUAAACAAAUGUUAGACCGGCUUAGACAGUAAACGGAACAAUUUCUAAUUUUACUUAUUUUAUAACGAAUAAGUGAACAAAGGAAUGAAAAGGAAGUUUGGCAACAGUCUUUUUACCAGCCAGAUAGUUUGACAAAGAAUCUUGCACUGCUCCUGCAGCUAAUCCACCAUACACAACUCUGCAGUCUUGUUUGGGAGUCAAAAUUCUCAAAAUGGGUAACUCUGUUCAAAUAUACUGUUUGGGAACUUUUGUAAUGUAUUUUGCAAGUCAAACAGGAAGGUAUUUCCAUAAGAAGGUUCACUUCACAUGCUCAACAAUUCAAAUUUGCGGAUGAUAUUUCUCAAAAUGGAGGGCUCUAUUUGGCUUGCCAACAAUCUUCCUCACCAUUAUCAUCCUUGCUAUACCGGUUAAACUGAACAGUCUUCAUUCUGACAUUUGCCCUAUUAACCUGAGUACACAAGAAUCCGAAACAACUGUUAGAAAUUAUAAUCUUUAUAUAUAGCCAAAAUGUUGAAUAAGAUGAUGUACUUGAUAAUAAAAUACCUGAGUUAAUAAAUAAUUAAGGGCCGGUAACAAUGUCAGCAUCUUAUCAAGUGGGAAAGCCUACGCAACGAAGAUGCUGCCUGCUUUCAAGAAAUAAUAACUUUCCAAUUCCAUAAGGUAGGUUAAUGCCCUUUUAAAAAUAUCUCCACCAGCCUAACAAUUAUUCAUUGAAAUGUGUGAGUGUGAAUUCGAACGAAUUAAUCAAAUAUGAUGACACGAGAAAGAAAAUUAAAAUAACCACAAGAAGUAGAAAUAUACUUUUGUUAUAUUUAGUGCAUCUUCUGUGUGUGCUCAAACGCAAUGCCUCAAGGCGCAAGAUAAUUUUAUGACCAUCAAUCUUUUGCAGCCAUAUGCAGACUUGAAACAUUGGCGGUGGUUCUAAGGAACUUGAAAAUUAGAAAAGUUUCAAAAUGAGUGACUAAAUAUGAUAAUCGAAAUUAAUUAAAUAUACACGCCUUGUAAAUAUGAAACUAAAUUACUCAAAUGUAUGUGCCUCUUCGCGCAGCAAUUGCUCGUGGUGGAAACUUUACUGCAAAGACUUCCUCAAACCCUUGAAGAUCACACUCUUCCUGGCAACAAAGAAACAGAGUCGAUAUACGAAGAUGAUUUUACUAACAAGUGAGAGCUUGCAAAUAUUGGAAGGAUAACGAUUGCUCAUAACCCAAAUCCCCAAUACCCUCUAAUAUCUCACUCGAGUGAGUUCAAGCCCCCAAAAUUCACUACAGUGAAACUCUCGAAACAAAAUUCUCUUCAAAUAUUCUCAACUCAAAUUUGAUAAUGAUAUCUCUUGAAGGAAGGCAAAAAAUCUAACACUGAUCAAAUUGGCUUGUGAACAAUUAAUGUUCCUGGCCAUCAUUCAUACUAGGUGUGGCGAACAAUUAAGCUGCUUAGUAUCCUGAACCUGAUAACUUACACAAACACAAAACAACUUGCCUAAAGUUUAAUAUUUAGAGGCAGAACGGUAAAGAAGAAGAUAUAUAUUGAUACUAAAAUUUGACUUGCGUUACCCUGAUGUCAAGAAUAGCGGGAUCUCAUGUGGGCAAAAUCUUCGCAAUACGAGAUGCUUGCAAAAUUGAAGCAGCAUCUUAUCACCUGUAAUUUAAUUAAGAUAAUAACUUUCCCCGACUAUUUCAAUGCAUUAUUGGCAACUAAAUUCAGAGGGCGCUAAUUAAAUACCCUUUUAACAAUAUCUUCUUAUCUUCUUAAUCUAGCAGUUAUUUGGAAAAUCUAAAUGACACUUUUAUGUAUUCUGUGAGAUGCUCAUUCAACCAUGUUUGCAUUCUUCUUAUACUAAUAGGAGAUUUAAUUUUUACCCUCAAGUCAAUGUCAAUGUGAACGUUCUUUUGUGCUGCAAAUUGAAGGAGUCCCCACAGGAGUCACCGUCGUGGUUACUUGCUGCUCUUAAGAUAAUUAGUAACAAAAUAUUUGUAAACUGCAACAAAAAGCUCAGUGCAAUCUAUCUAUGAAUCUUGUGAGUUCACAUAUAAUACAGUCGAUUUAGAAUAGUCAUAAAUUUUUUUAUUAUAAAUAUUAGUAUAUUUUUAAUGGUAUAAUAUAUAUCGAUGAAACUAUAUAGAGUAAUUUCGCCUAAUUGUAUAAAUUCAUUACGAAUAUCAUCACAAAUUUGUAUUUGGUCGGGACCGUGCGAGUGAAAUUUUUGAUAAAAUCGUCUCCUGACAAUUUAUUUAUUAUAUUCCAUUCCUUUUAUUAUCAGGUAGGCCAAAGCCAUUUGGACAUUUGAAAAAAGUAUGUGAUUCUGUUUUAGUCUAUUAUGUCACGACAAAAAGAGAAUUGGAAAAUGUAACAUUCUCAAAUUAAUUUGUAGUGGAAAAGAGAAAAAUAAGACAAAAGUUGGAAAAAUCAUGCAGCCGACCCUUUUUUUUUAUCUGAUUGCGCAAUAUUAGGUAGGCGAAUGCGACUUCAUCGAUAUCACACAGCAGUGGUUCUGUCAUUAAUUUUUUCUUUUAUUUAAUUAAGAAAAGGAAGAAAAGAUAGCACAUGUUAUGAUUAUUGUGAAUUUUCCAUCCCUUAUAUAAAUUCUCAAAUUUAUUUAAAUUGUGAGUCAUAGAAGUAUAUUACCUAAACUAUUUUAUCAGGCCAUGUUCGGAUACUAGGAUUAAGUAUGGAAUUGGACUAAUUUUGUGAUUAUAUUUUAUAUCAAAUUUGGUAAGCUUAAUUGAAUUGGACUAAGGGACUAAAUUUAAGUUUAAUCCUAAAAUUAUGGGAUUAAUAAUCCUAAUUUACACAUUCCUUUAGUUGGGACUUGGGAUAAGAUUAAAGAAAAAAGUUAUCCAUUUAUGAGACUUUAAUUUAUGUCAUUAUUUUUUUAUUUAUACUUUAAUAUUAAUUAAUUUAUUAAUUUAUUUUUAAUUUAUGAUUUUACUUAAAAUUUAUUUUUAUUUAUUAUCUAUUAUCUGGUUAAAUUAGAACUUUACUUCUACUAACUCUUGCGAUUAAUUUUUCAUUACUUGCGUAUUUGAUAAUUUGCCAAUAAAAUUAACCAUUUAAUAAUUUCUUGCAUUAUUUGAUUGUAUUAAAUUUAAUAAUCACUAAUAUAAUAUUAAAAAUAAUCAUGAAAAUUAAUAAUACCUUCAAUUAAUUGAUUUUUAUAUACUUUUUUAAAUAUUUGAUAAGAAGUUGAUAAAAAUUAAUUAAGGAUUUAAAAUUUUAUUCAUUUUUUAUUUAUUUAUUUUAUCAUGAAUACCCAGUAUCUUACAAUAUAAUUAAUUUUCUUAUUCAGACUACUCAGCAUCAGCUCCUGUAAAAUUUCUUACAUUAUAAGCAACAAAAUAUUUAUAAACUACAACAAAAGGCUUAGAUCAAUCCACCGAUGAACCUUUUGAAGUUAUAUAUAAUAUAUUAAUUGUUGAUCUAGAAUAGUCUUAGUGGAUAGAUUUUUUUUAAUUAUAAAUAUUAAUAAAUUUUUUAUCGUUUAAUAGAUAUUGAUGAAAUUAUAUGGAGUAAUUUCGCCUAAUCAUAUUAAUUCAUUAUGAAUUUCAGCACAAAUUUGUAUGUGAUCGAUCUGGACCGUGUAAGUGAAAUUUAUUUACUAUAUUUUUCAACUUGGCCGACAACAUCUUUUUGUCAGGUAGGCAAAAGCAAAAGCCAUUAUCUCAUUAAUUGAUUUGGUCAUUUGAGAAUGUAACUCUAUUAUGCCGUGACAAACUCCAAGAUCUAAUUUAGAGAGCGACCCAAAUAAUGGUAAUUAGUAAUUUAUUACAUCUGCAGUUAGAUAGAUACUUUGUCUGGGAAAAAAAUAAAAUCAGUUUUAUAAUGAUUUUAAUUAAUUCAUUUGGUCAUUUGAAAAAGUUGUGGCUCUGUUUUAGUCCAGUGUCAAUAUAUAACUUUAUUAUGUCAUGACAAACUUCAAAAUUUAAUUUAGAGUGUGACUCGAAUAAUUUUAAUUAGUAAUUUAUUAUAUCUACAGUCGGAUACUUUGUUGAGAAAAAAAAAAAUAAAAUCUGUCCCAUAAUGAUUUUAAUAAAUAUCAUACUAUUGUCUACGGACUUACCUCAUAUUACAAAGAAUUAAAAUAUGCGAAAGAUAACUAAGGAAUAAAAUUUUUCCACAAUGAUUUAUAAAAAUUGCUUUUGAAGAACGGUUAUGAUAUUAUAUUAAAUUACUAAGAAUUUAGUUAACCUCUCAAGAAGUCUAUUUGGUUGACUUCUCGAGUUUAAAAUUCGAAUGUCAAAAAAGAUAAAAGGUUAAAAAAAAUAUUUUAAAUAUUAUCCACCCUUUUACUAUUUUAAUAUACAAAAAGAAGAAUUACUUGUUUUUAACAAUAGCAACCGGGGGCAUAAUAUAUCUGAUGGAUUUUUUUAAGGAACAAAACUUAUUAUAUCUCCUAUCAAAAAUGUCAUUUUUGUUAGUAAAAGGAUAUCUAUAUCUCCAAAUUUUGGAAAAAUGGUUACCAGCGCUUCCAAGUCCUAAAUUUUCAAAAAGAGACACUAAAACUCAUUUUUUACUACAAUACCCUUUACUUUUAUUAUCCCAAAAGUUAACUUUAAUUUUUUUUUAUAAUAAAUAGAAAUAUAAUAUUAAAAUAAAUGUAUUAAAAUUUAAAUUAUUAUGAAAAAUAAUAAUUUUAAUAUUAUUAGUAUAUGAGACUUUUUUAAUUGUAAAAUGUAUUUAAUGCAAAUAUUUAUUUAAAAUCUCUAGAAUAAAUACAAAUAUAUUAUUAAAAUAAAUAUAAUAAUUUACAUAUUUAAAUUUAUUUUAAUAUUAUUAAUCUACUACAUAGAUUACAUUAUUUAUAUAAUAUUUGUGUUUACUAAAAAUUUGCAAGUUAAAUUUUUUCGGGAUACUAAAGGUAAAGAGUAUUAUGGUCAAAAGAGAGUCUUGAUGUCAUUUUUAGAAAACUUGGGGUGUUGGUGACUAUUUCUCCAAACCAUGGGGAUAUAGAUAUCCUUUUCUCUUUUUUAUUUUAAACAAGUGGUGACUAAAGAUUAAACUGUCAUAUAUUCACAAGAUAUUCACCACAAAAUUUGUAGGAAAUUUCUUCUUCCCUAAGCGGAAAAUACAAAACAAAAACAUAAUUGGCAAUUUCACUAGCAAAACUAAUAAUACUUUUGUUCCAUAUCCAGGGGUAGAGCUCGGGGUAAAUCUUCAUGACGCCCAAAUUCAAAUUUCAAGUGUUAGCUGGGAAUUAAUUUUAGACAAUUUUAUUUAUUUAUUUAUAGCUAGUAUGUAAUUGUUAGGUAUUUCAAAAUUUGAGAAUUUUGUGAUUCUGUGAGAAUGUUGAUUCAAGCAUGUUUGCAUUCUUCUUAUAAGUACCAUAGGAGAUAUUUAGUUUUUUACCCUCAAGUCAAUGUCAAUGUGAACGUUGUUUUGUGCUGCAAAUUAAAGGAGUCCCCACAGGAGUCACCGAUUUGCUUUGAGAAUUUUGAGAAUUAUGUUUUGCGAGUGAAAUUGCCAUUUUGUCAUAAUGGAAUUUUGCUUUCUGAUCAAUAAUUGAGAAUUUUGCUUGUAGCUACAGGCUGCAGCGAUUUUGAUUUGACGGCUUUGAUUCAUAAUUGAAGUUACUGUUGCAAGUAAAAACUAAAAAAAUUAACAAAAUAAAAAUCAAAGACUUAGGUCCAUGUUGCAAGUAAAAACUAAAAAAAUUAACAAAAUAAAAAUCAAAGACUUAGGUCCAUGUUUUAUCAAAAUUUUAAUAAAAGGCUAUUUGUCAUUUUGUCAUAAUGGAAAAAUGAUUAACAAAAUAAAAAAAUCGAAUUUACUUGAUUUUAUUUUACAAAAUAUAAAUUAAAUUUCUAUUAUAUGUAUAAAGUUUAUACAUCAAGUGCUUAGGGGUCAAAUCAAUCUUUUUAUACCUAAUUUUUAAUAUUUUACUUCGAAACCUCAAAAAUUUUUAAAGUUUGUUGGGUCACAAUCCCCGCUAGGAGUGGGCAAAUUUGUGUUCAUAUCAACUUGAAUAGGUUUUGGGUUGAUUAGGCUAGAACUGGAUCAGAUCAAAAAGUAUGAGAGAAAUUAAUUGAGCUUCUCCCAAGAAAAAUACAUACAGAUGAUUGAUAUAUAACCAUUAAAUAAUAAAUAUGUUAGACUUACAUUUAUUUUUUAGCCCUAAAAGUAUGAAAAAAUUAAUACUUUCCGAAUUUAUUUUUUGUACCGUAAAGAAUCAAAUUACUCACAAAAUUAUUUUUAACUUUCAUCAUGCAAACAAACAAAUCAUCAUCAAUUUCAAUAGAAAGAAGUAGAAUAUGAUGUAUUUAGGACUUCCUACUCUAUUAGCUAGGUUAAUAACAUGUUAAUUGUCACAUCAUUAAUUUUAGAUUAUAAAUUUUAUAUUCAAACUUUGUAUGACUGCUCCUUUUUCAAUGAUCUAAUGUUAGAGUGCAAUUUAUGCACUAGUUUUGCAUUGUUUACUUCCUUUAAUAUUGAUAUUUUACACUUAAUAAUAGUGAUUUACUUGUAUUUUAUUUUUGUAGGUGCAAUUCUAUUGAUUGGUGCUAAAAUUGAGAUACAAGAUGAUGUUUAAGGAUGGUUGUUCUCUUGGAUAAAUUAUGAGUGUCAGAAGAACUUUGUUGAUAAGGCGUGGGCGCGUGCUGUCAACUACGGACCUGCAGUUUUUAGUUUAAUGUGUUUUGUAUUUUUGGUUAUUUUUGUAAUUAUGAAUUUAAUGUUUCAGAUAUUAGUAUUUUAUUUUAAAUAGAACUCUAGAGGAGAAGAGAGGGAGAGUAUUUAAGGGAGGAAUCUAUUGUGAAAAAUGUGAGAGAUUGGAGAAAAAGAAAGAAACCCUAGAUCUAAACUUUUCUCUUCUCUCUAUGAAGAACUAAACCUAUUUUUCUAGUUGAAGGUUAAUGAAGCUUUGAUUCAUCACUACUGUGAGAUCUUUCUUAUGCUUUAAUUGUUUUAUUGCUUUUUGGGUAUUUGUUUAUUUUUUGAAUUAUUUUCAUGAUUAUGUUUGUUAAUUAGGUAAUUGGACACUAUUUAAUUAUCAACUUAAUCUAUUGUCAAUUCAAUGAUUCAUCGUAUGAAGAUUUUAAUGUUUGUGACAAAUAACAUAGCAGUGAGUUGUAUUAUGAGAAUAAACAAUCUAAUUUAAAUGAACCAUCGUAUGUGUUUGUUGAUUAGGAUUUGGGUCUCUCUGGUUUUUCAGGCUGUCAAUUGAUAUAAUCUUAUGAUUGUAUUUAGGGUUGUCUAUUGAUUAGGGAAAUAACCAACGGUCGUACCUUGGUUAUCGACUAGUUAAGGAGAGAUUGGCUAUUAGAGGGUCUCAGUAGCUAUAACCGGUGUAUUCAUAAGUAGUAAUAAUUUAUAUUUGAAUCAAUGAUUAGUAGUCGAAUCAAGCUCAGUUAAUUCCUUCAACCAAAGCUUUCUCCAAUUUGAAUUACAACUUUAAUUUGCAUUCUAGUUAUUUUAAUUUGAUUUCUAUUAUUGUCAACAACUCCCCCAUUUUACGUUUUACAUUUUAAAAGGAUUUAAAUAAUUACCGAUCUCUGUGAACACGACCCUGCUCAAUCAUUAUACAUAAUUUAUUUAGAGUAUGUAUUUAUUUUUGCUGUCUUCGACAAUCAUCAAAUUUUGGCGCCGUUGCCGGGGAUUGGUGUCGUUUAUUUAAUCCUUUUUACAUUUUACUUGGUGUAUGGUUCAUUCUUCUCGUACAGGUACACUUUCGUUUGAUCCUGAAAUUGAGAAGACAGCUCGCCAGCUGAGACAGCAGACGAAGCAAGCUAAGCAACGAUUCUCGUCGCCUUUGCUUUUUGAAACAGAUACAGUGUCUGAUUUGAUUGAAUCAUCUAGCGAUUCAGAAGAACAAGUGAUGGAUAGAGCUGCACCUGUAGAAAGAACUCUUAAAGAGUUAGCUGAACCAGACUUGAAUCAGCAACCACUCUGCAUUCAAUAUGUAGACUUGGAGGUAAAUUUUGAAUUAAAGUCUGGUCUUAUUAAUUUAUUACCCAAGUUUCAUGGUUUUGCAGGUGAAGAUCAUCAUAAACAUCUCAAGGAGUUUCAUGUUGUGUGCUCAAGUAUGAGGCCACAAGGCGUGACUGAAGAGCAGAUUAAGCUGUGUGCUUUUCCGUUCUCUGCAGAUGGGCUAGCUAAAGACUCGUUGUACUACUUGCCUCCUGGAUUGAGUACAACGUGGAAUGGUUUGAAGAAGCAGUUCCUUGAGAAGUACUUUCCUGCUUCAAGAGCUGCCAACAUCAGAAAAGAUAUUUGUGGGAUCAGACAACUUCCUGGGGAGAUUUUGUAUGAGUAUUGGGAGUGAUUCAAACAAUUGUGUGCCAGCUGUCCUCAGCAUCAGAUUUCUGAUCAACUUCUUAUUCAAUAUUUUUACGAAGGACUGUCAUUGAUGGAUAGGAGUAUGAUAGAUGCUGCUAGUGGAGGCGUGUUGGUGAACAAGACCCCUACUCAAGUAAGGGAGUUGAUCUCAAAUAUGGCUGCCAAUGCACAACAAUUUAGCAGCAGGCAAGAUCCCACUUCAAAGAAGGUGAAUGAGGUAAAUAUUUCUUCUGUUGAACAACGUUCAGAUAAACUUACUUCUCUUGUGGAAAAGUUUGUUUUAGGUAAUGUACAAUAGGUGAAGACUUGUGGCAUCUGUUACAAUAUGGGUCAUUCAACUGAUAUAUGUCCUACGCUUCAAGAAGAACCCGUUGAACAAGCCAAUGUAGUUGGAGGAUUUCCAGGCAAGCCUCAGAAGAGGUAUGAUCCUUAUGCACAAACAUACAAUUCAGGGUGGAAGGAUCAUCCCAACUUCAACUAUGGAGUUAGGCCGUCAGGAUUCCCACAACAGUAUCCACCAAGACAACCAGCACCUCCACAGUCAAACUCCAAGUCAGGUAUAUCUCUUGAAGAAAUUGUUAAAUCACUUGCAACUAACACUCAACAAUUUCAGCAGGCAACUACAGCAAGCAUUCAGAAUUUGGAGAACCAAAUGAGUCAAUUGGCCACUACAAUGAGCCGUCUGGAGUUUCAAGUAUUAGGGAGAUUGCCUUCACAAUCUGAGGUAAAUUUAAAGCAAAACGUUAGUACUGUCAUCCUUAGAAGUGGGAAGGAGUUACAAGAGCCUAGUAAGAAAGUGACAAAGCAUGUAGAAGAUGAGCUUGAGAAGAAUGAAUUGAUGCCUAAAUCUCAAGAUGCGCAACCCACCAAAGCGAAACCCCUACCUAUUGUGAUACCUCCUCAUUUUCUAAGCCGGUUUGUAAAAUCCAAGAAGGAGGAACAAGAGAAAGACAUCCUUGAGACAUUUCGCAAGGUUGAGGUAAAUAUUCCUUUAUUAGAUGCUAUAAAACAAAUACCUCGAUAUGCUAAAGUUCUUAAGGAACUGUGCACCUCCAAGAGAAAAUUAAGAGGAGAUGAAAAAGUUCACAUGGGGGAGAAUGUUUCAGCAGUUCUCCAAAAGAAAGUACCUCCUAAGUGCAUGGAUCCAGGUAUGUUUACUAUCCCUUGUAAAAUUGGUAGUGUUAGAGUUGAAAAUGCUAUGUUAGAUCUAGGAGCUUCUAUUAAUGUCAUGCCUCGUUCCAUUUAUUCAUCUUUGAAUGUUGGUCCAUUGAAAAAAACUGGCAUGAUAAUUCAACUAGCUGAUAGGUCUAAUGCAUAUCCUGAUGGGGUAUUAGAAGAUGUCUUAGUACAAGUUCAUGAGUUGGUUUUUCCUGUUGAUUUUUAUGUACUUGAUAUGGAAGAGGAUAACUCCUCUAAUUCUUUCCCAAUUUUGCUAGGAAGACCUUUUCUUAACACUACUAGGACUAAAAUGGAUGUACAUAAAGAGACUCUCACUAUGGAGUUUGAUGGAGAGGUUAUAGAAUUCAAUAUGAAUGAUGCCAUGAAAUAUCCUAAUGAGAAACAUUCGGCAUUUUCUGUGGAUGUUAUUAACCCUAUAAUGCAGGAAGUUUUUUACAAGGAAAAGACGAAGAAAUUUCAUGAUAGAAUGAUUUUGAGAAAGGAGCUCUCUGUUGGUCAAAAAGUUCUUUUUUAUUCUAAGCUUAAACUUUUUCCGGGUAAAUUACGUUCUUGCUGGGUUGGACCUUUUAUUAUUACUAAUGUUUUUCUUCAUAGUGCAGUUGAGAUUCGGAGUCCGACCUCUGACAAAGUUUUUAAGGUUAAUGGUCAUCGGUUAAAACCUUUUUAUAAAGGUUUUUCGGUGAAUAUUGUGGAGGAUAUGGCUCUCAAGAGUCCCAAUUAUGGAGAUUGAUGCAUAAAUGUGUCUAACCAAAGACAUAAAACAAAGGCGCUUUUUGGGAGGCAACCCAAAUGAUUUAUUUAUUUUGGUUUUUGUUAUAUCUUCUUUUCAUUUUGAUUCAGAUUUUUUAAAAAAAAUAACGUGUUUGCUUAUUUUGGCCAGAAGAAAAUGUUUGAUAAGGCGUGCCCACAUCUUAACUAAUAAGUACUUCUGUGAUUUUUAACGUAAAAUGGUUUUAAGGCGUGCGCACGUGCUUAUUAAAAAAGUACUUCUGAAAUUUUUAGUGUCUCAAGUGAUACAUCACUAAAAAAAAAAUUAUUUUAUUUAUUUAUUUAUUUGAAAAUUAAAAAAAUAAAAAAAGUUUUUUUUUCUUUUCUUUCUUUUAUAUUUUUAUUUAUUUGAAAAAAAUUUAAAAAAUGAAAAAAUAAAAAAAAGUUUUUUCUUUUUUUCUUUUAUAUAUUUUAUUUAUUUAUUUAUUUGAAAAAAAAUUUAAAAAAUAAAAAAAUUUUACUGUUCACAAAAUCCCUAAUUCACAGAAUUAGUGUUCUUCUCCAGCCGCUCCAGCCUUCACCGAGCAGCCACGCAGCACCAGCUCCAUCCCCAGCGCGCAGCAUCAUCCCCAGCCAGCGCGCAAGCAACCAGCCCCAACCCGCGCAGCACAACCAUCUGCGAAUAACCUGAACCAACAGCCGUGUACCUGCAAGCUCCAGCCGAGCAGCAACCAUCCGCAGCCGGCCUACGCCCUGCAUUCUAGCCGCGUGAAUCAAAAUCCGUGAGUUCAAUUAUUGUAACAAUGCCGAAGAGGAAAGCAUCAACUUCCAAGUCAUCUAAAAAGACACUCGUCGCAAAGAAAUCCAAGAUUUCCGCUCCCACUACGGUUCCAUGGAACACAGUUUUAGAUUCACGCCAAGCCGUGAGAUAAAGAUCGAAACAUGGAAAAGGCAUGAGUGUUUUGCCACUUGCGGAAUCCAAUCUCAGAGGGUGCCUCACAUUCACGACUCAACAAGAGAAAGAAAUGUACAAAGAUAUUUCCAAGCGAAAAAUACUUCCAGCUAAGUAUAUUCAUUACCCGACUCUUGAAAAAUUGAAUGUCAAGAAUAGUUUUGAUUCUUUGAUAGAUAAGAUUGGUUUGCGUAAGUUUGUUGAUGUUGAUUGUUUGGGUUAUGUUGAGUUGAUUAGGGAGUUCUAUGCUACUUUUCAAUUUAAUAUACUGAAUGAUUUUACUUUGCAUACCUCAGAUGUUAUAAAGUUUAGGUUAAUGGGACGAAAUUUUUCACACUCUAUCACGGAUUUUAACCUAGUUUUAGGAUUCAUUGAUGAUGAUUAUUCUUCUAGUGAUGUAUAUUUAGGGACAACUUGUGACUUUAGCGAAAAUUUUGAGCCUUAUGGUCUUUGGCGUAAUUUAUCUGUUGAUCACAAUGCCUAUGACCCAAGUAAAUCAAAGAGUUCUUUCUUACGUGAUCCUGUUUUGAAAUGUAUGCAUCGGUUCUUAGCAUAUAAUUUUUUAGGAAAGAAAGAUCACUCAAGAGUUUUCUCUAAAACUGAGUUUUGUUUUAUCUGGUGCAUAUUAAAUGAUGUGAGGCCUAACUUAGGUUUUUGGUUAGCAGAUCAAUUUCAAAGUGUGCUUAAACGGUAUAGGACUUUAUUUCUUGGUUCAUACAUUACUCUGUUAGUUAUAAACUUAUGUGUGCUUGAUCAUGACAACAAUGAUUUAUAUCCUGCUUGCAAAAAGAAAUUUUUGGAUAUGUCUGUGUUUGAAAGAACAGGUGUGGUCGAAUUCAAGGAGGGGAAAUUUCAGUUUACUGAACCAGGACCCACCCAACUUCCAAAGAAGUUUUAUACUAGGAGUGGUGCUACCUCUGAUGACGAGUUUGACGACGAAACUGCGGCCCCACCAACUAUUCCUUUUACAUCCGCACAACCUUUGAGCAUUCAGUUAGAGAAAAUGGAGCACAAGCUGAACAAGAUGGAGCAGAAUUUGGCCUCAUACUUCGAGAGUGUGGGAUUUAUCCCACCAUUUCCACUAAGCCCAUAGACGUUAUGAGGAUCAAAGCUCACAAUUCAGGAAAGUUUUCGCCUUUAAUCUUUUAUCCUUACGCUUUAAUUUUUAUGUGAGCUUUGAUUAUCUUACAUUGGGGACAAUGUAAGUGUCUGUCAAUGACAAAUUUAACCCACUACCACCAUUCAUAAUUAACCAAAAUCAAAUAAAUUAAAAAAGAAAACACAAAACAAGGAUAACUACUAGUUGUUUUGAUCAUCCUUGCUUCUUUUUCUUAGCAUAGCUCUUGUAAUGAAAAUUAACAAAAAGGGCCAAAAGGGAAGCAUUAAACACAGUAUUGAAGCACCAACCCCAAAACCCAGGGAAACCAAAUCCCGUGAAAUGAUAAUUCAGCAUCAAAAUGAAAAAUGUUAUGGAUGGCUGUGAUGGGUCUGAGGAUGUGGGGUCCAAUGAGAGGUGAUGAUGAUGGUGAUGUUGAUGUUGAUGUGUGGUAGAGGAUGGAUGUGAGGGAGAGGUAAGUAAUGAUGGAGUGAAUGAGGAUGUGUGGGAAGAAAGCUAGGGUUUGGUCUUGAGUCCACGUGAAGUUGAAGACUUGUGGGUGGCUUACAAGCAAUAAUGGAGUGUUAAGCUGAUUGAAUUUGAAGCCAUGGCUGGUUUUGGGGGAAGAUUGAUUUGGGAGAGAUGAUGGUCAGAGGAAUGGGGGAGUUUAGAAAGUUUGGGAUAUUGUGACGGGUGUUUUAGGCAUAUUUUUUCGUCUUAGCUUAAAUUUUUGUUAAAAAAAUGAUAAAUUCUUUUCUCAUAUCAAUUUAAAACUCCGAGUAUGUUUCCAAUUCUUCUUCUAUAGUGUCUAGACCUUUGUUUCAACGGCAUCUUUGGACGCGGGUUUCUUCUUUUUUGGUUAUUUCUUCUCAAACUUGUGCAGAUUACAUGCACUCAACGUGGAACCCUUUUGAAUGGAAGUUACUGUUUUGCUGGAAUCGGGACCAAUUUUUUGACAAAAAUUUCGCUAUAAAAUAUACAAUUAAAGUCGAGUAAGAUUAAGUAAAGUAACAUCUUGUAUGGUAAAGUACAUCGAGUAAGGAUUUCUAUAAUCGAGCUAGAAAGUAUAAUUAAAAUUAGAUAAGAGUGCCGCGGAGCAUUGUUUUAAAGUUACAGUAUCAAAGUAUUUAAUAAAUAUUUAUUAUUGUGACUUAAAAAUUAAGUUGGGAGUACAAAAAAAUCAAUAAUACAUUUAUUAAUUUUGUCAAAAUUAUUAUUUAAAAAUCAUAUAUACAAUACAAGAUCAACAAUUAUAUUAUAGCUUCAGUUCCUUUUUCACAAUAACUAUAACUACAACACGGUAGUACUAAAUAGGAAGUCGAGUAUGAUCAAGUAAUUACAUGUUAUGGUUUUUUGGUAUUACAUGAUUCUUCAAACUGAAAUUUGCGAUCAAAAUUGUAUCAAAGAAAUCACAGAGACACUCUGUUUGACAAAUCUGCAGUAGAAUUUGCACAAUUUAACUGGAUUGCAGAGAGUGAAUAAGAUUCCAAAGCAACAGGCAAUUAUUGUUAUUAAGAAAACAAUUCAUCGCUAGAACAAAAUUAACUUUUCUAACAUACUAGAAUUUAACUGGAGAAAAAUUGGAAUAUACGACGUUGUAUCACAUAUAGUAUUUAGACAUCAAGAAAAGAAUCCCUCUAUUAGUGAACUAUACUUGCCAGGAAACACGGUGAAAUACCACUACCUCCCUACUAGAUUAAUGCAGCAAAAUUGGGCAAUUGACUUGAUUAACUCCAAGAAAUUUACGCAGUCACAUUCUUCCGGACUAUCCUCUUUCUUCGCACUUUAGGAGCUGUUGUUUCCCCUUACAGAGUCGACAUUCCCUUGUUUGAUGCCAAGGAGCCCAAGCCCAGAGCCAAUGGCAUUCUUUGGUAUCAACCACUUUGGGAACUUUUGAGUUGAGCCAUUGACAUCCUGAGACGGCCUGUUGUGAGCCUUCUUCAAAAGGUCAUCUGACUGAAGUAGCGGAUCCGCUUCCACUCCUAGCCAAGCAAGCCUUGAUCUUUCUCCUAAUUGGACAUUAAGAACCCUGCAUGGAAUCCAUUUGAGAAGUUGAACAAUAGACAAAGUCCAACACAUAUAGGCAGUAAAGAAGAAUUUGGACAGCAAUUACUGACUGUUUAUGCACAGGGCUGAACAAAUGGGAAUAUUAAGGCACUUAAAAGUUGGAACCAUAUUCACCACUUGUAUUUCCUCAGAGAACUAUCUCAGAGUUCUGUUAAUUUAAAACCAUUCUAACGUAUUUAACUACAAAACUAGAGAAAUCGUACUUCUGUAGCGGAGUCUCACUAUUGUUAAGGAUCUAGACUUGGAAAGUAUGCAAGUUGAUUAGGUAAAGAAAAAUUGAAAUAAUACUUGGUGAUAGAUCAACACACUUCAAUAGAAACCACACUAACAUCAUAUCAGACAAAUAAACAGAUUCCCCGAGUCAAAGUUUAACAAACAAAACAUUAAAACAAGGAUAAUUUGGUACGACCAGAAUAGUCUAUCAAUGUAUAUAGAGAGGGAGAGACCUCAAAGCAGCGCUUAAGAACAGUGCUACUCCAAUAACAUCAAUAUGGUUGAUGACCGCUCUAUCAAAUCCAUUGGAAAUCGUAUACUUAUAAUUUUUUUUUUCAAACUUUGUCUAAAAUAAAUGAAUGAGAUAAGAUAAAUUCGAAUAAAUUAAUCUGCAUAAUGACACAAGAAACAAAUGUAAAUUGACCACAAGUAGAAAUAUACUUUUGUUAUCUUCCAAUUUCUUUCCCUUGAGCUCUGUUUCUGCGAGUGCUCAAAAGCAAGACACGGGCCUUGUUAAGAGUAUAGCUGAAGCUGGUGACGUGUAUAAGCUGCUGAUGAAGCUGCUGAGCUGGCUGGCUAGUGAUGUGUAUAAAUUGAAGGUGCUGAGCUGGAUUGGGUUGUUGUUUACACCAACUAAAGCUGUAACAGAUUAUCCAGCUGGCUUGUUAUGAUUGGAAAUUAGAUUAGUUUGUUAAUACAGCAAACGAUUAGCUCUGUUUUAGUAGUUAGCCUUGAAUGUAACUAUAAAUACUGGCUAACACGUUUUCAGUGUUAAGCUUGAGUUUUAAUCAAUAAAAAUCAAUUCAGUUAAAGUUUCUUUGUUAAUUUUCUUUCACUUUCUCACUUGCCAAACAACCUAUUAAUUCUAAAAGGCCUCAAGAUAUAAUUAUCAUCAUCAAUCUUUUGCAGCCACAUGCAGUACUUGGAAAAUGUUUAUGGCCCUAAAUAACUGGAAAAUCAGAAAACAUUAAGAACAAGAGACUAAUCAUUUUAAUCGCAACAAAACAUGCACACUAUGAAAAUAUAAAAUUGAAUUACUUCGAAUGGAUGUGCCUCUUAACAGGAAUUGCACAAGCUAAUGAGCAAGUGAGCCUUGAACAGUUAUCACUCAACUCAAACUAAAAUGAAAUUACUGUGGACAUGUGAAUUAAAAAUAGAUGUAAAAGUAGUUUUCUCAAAGCAAAGUCAAGAUAAGAGAUUAACUCUGCUCCGUAAUUACAUUAAAAAUAACAAACAAUGAAAAACAGAGCUAGAGAAGAACUUACCUGUGCGUUGAGACCAUGUGGGGAAUGUGAGAUAUCUUCUUAGAUUUGGUUUGAGAAACCCUGCCAAUUAAAAUUUCGGUCCCCAUGUAGCAGAAUUUCUUAUUUUUCCUUUGUACACAAAUGCAGACACUUAAGCAAAUUAAGAUUUCUUAUCUAAAGCAAAUUAGGAUUUCUUUUGACCCUGCAAAUUACAAUUUCAGUCCCCAUGUAAUAGGAAAAUUUUGUACACAUAUUUAUAGCAAAUUAAUAUUUCAUACCUCACAAUAUUUAUCAGAACCAUCAAUCUUUAGAAACCACAUGCAGACUUGGUAAACUGUUUAUGGCCCAAAAUAACAGGAAAAUUAGAACAGAUUUUUAAGAAUGAGCGACUAAAUAUUUCAAUGGCAACUAAAAUUACACAUCUUGGAAAUCUGAAACUCAAGUACUCAGAACACUGUUAGUGCAUUGCAUAAGUCAAUUGCAUAAUCUUGGGUAAAAAUUACGCAGCAAUUAAACAAGCUGGGAACUUUAGUGCAAAUGCUUUUUCAUAAUCUUCAAUUGCAUAAGUCAGUUAGAAUCAAUCUUUCUUAAUCUUUCAAUUCACAUAUGAGAGCCUGAUAACACAAGGAAACACUGUAAGUGAAUUGUCAACUGUGACAAAUUUUGGGUAAAAAUUAUCAACUGUAGUUAUCUGCAUAACAUUUAGUGUCAACCCCAAAUUCCUUACUGAUCCGUGGAAGCAUUUCAGCCCACAGACGGUUAGCUUUGUCAAUAUACGGCAACUCAGGAUUCUAUAUUUAAACUAUGAUGUUUGAUGACUUGCUGAUACAAAAGACAUUGCCCCAAGCACUUUUUUACAUUAGCUAAAAUCAAGCCAAUCACUUCCAUUUGUUGCAGUUUUAAUGCAGAAAGAAAAAGGUGGGGAAAAAAUCUGCAAGAUGCCACUUGUAAUACCGCAUGUUCGCAGAAGCAGAGUUAAAUAAUUACAAAAUUACAUUCUUUAUGAAAGCUUGCGAUUAUUGGGAGAGCUCUACUCAAAUUUAAUGAGAUAUCUCUCAGAAGGGAGAGCUCUAAUAAUAUAUAAAGCCAAAAAUCUAACACUCAUCAAAUUGGCUUGUGAACAAUUAAUCUUCCUUGCCAUCAUAAAUGCCAGGUGUGGUGAACAAUCUUCAUUCUGACAUUUGCCUUAAUAAGCUGCUUAGUAUCCUUAACCUGAUAACUUACACAAACAAAAACAACUUCACUAAAGUUUAUUCUUUAAAGGCAAAACAGUAAACCAGAUGAUGUAUGCUGAUACAAAAAAUUGACCUGAGUUAUCCUGAUGUCAAGAAUCACAGAACCUCACGUGGGCAAAAUCAUCGCAAUACAAGAUGCUGAAUUCAAGCAACAUCUUAUCACCUGUAAUUUAAUUAAGACAAUAACUUUCCUCAACUAUUAGCCUUCUCAAUUUCAAUGUAUUAUUGGCAACUAAAUUCAUAGGGGACGCAGCUAAUUAAAUGCCCUUUUAACAAUAUCUUCCCCACCUAACAAUUAUUUGGAAAAUCUAAAUGACAAUCAUGCAUUGAUGGCAUAAAAUAUUGGCCACAAAGCUGCCUACAAAAAGGCUUUAAAUUCUUAAUGAGACAACGUAUUCGAACAAAUAUGGUGAAUGAAGAGACAAAGCAUAACACCUCAAGAAGUAAAGCUCUGUUUCUGUAUAUGCUCAAACCAAUGGAAACCCAUGGAAAUGGAUUUCUACGAAUUAGACAUGUCAGCCAAAACAGGUACUCUGUACAGGCAAAGUAAAAGAGAGUUACAAAAAAUUUUAAGAUAAUUAAACUUUUAAUAACCAUAUAAUUAAUAGAAAACUUUGUACACAAUGAUUUAUAUGAGAUUAAGAUUGUAUACCUAAGUUUUAAUUGCAAACUAAAUAUACACAACAUGAUAUUAGCAUUAGAAGACUGCACCAAAACGUACCGAAUUGAAUGUACCUUUUAACGGCCAUUGUACAUGCAUUGAAAGUUUACCGCAAAAUCUGUUUCAAACGUGAUGCAUCUUAGAGAUGCAAGAUGAGAAAUUGUUAGUACAACUAGCAUUGAAACAUGUGUGAAAACUGUUAAUGGACCUAAAUAACUUGAAAAUCAGAAAAGAUUAGGAAUGAGUGACUAAGCCUGCUAAUCACAACUAAUCCAAAACUGUUAAUGGACCUAAAUAAUAGUGUUAAUACCGAAUUCCUUCCUCCAUGGAAGCAUAUGAUCAGCCCACAUGUGCUUUGCUCUGUAGCUUUUGAGUACCUGAAAUUGUUAUUACAACCAGCGGUGAAAAUUGGGUGAAAAAAUGGUAAUGUUAGCAUAAUUGAAUUUGCUUAUAGAGGAUAAACCGAUCAAAGAAAAAAACAAGAUAGAAAUGAUUAUCUUAGUACCUUAAUAUCAUGCAAUAAAAAUCACCAUGCCUUCCAGGCAGCUGUCCAUCCUCAAUUGAAACAGAGCAGACCUGGCCAUCACUUUCUUCUUCAAAGUCCAGCAACGGAACGUUGCACACAACACCACAGUGGAAGUAGUUCCAUCACCAGCCUAAUCCUUGAUUACCCCAAUGUUCUCCAUAGGGUCUUCAAAGUCAACCUAAAAAUAAAAUGAAAAUGCAAUGCAUUAUUAUUAGGGAUCUAGUGCUUGAGCUUGCUUUGACAUCAUGGUAUUAGCAAAUUCUGAUAUAGCCAAAAUGGUGAAUAAGAUGAUGUACUUGAUAAGAAAAACCUGAUUUAACAAAUAAUUAAGAAGCCGGUAACAAUCACAUAAUCUCAUCAUGUGGGGAAUGCCUUGGUAACAGAAGAUGGUGCUUUCAUUCAAGCAAUAGCAACUUUCCAAUUUCAUAAGGUAGUUUAAUGGCCCUUUUAAGAACAUCUGUACCAGCCUAACAAUUAUUCAUGGAAAUUAAAAUUCAGAAUCAUAUUAGAUUGAGAGAUGAAAUAUAAUAAGCGAUUUGGCCACCAUAUAUGCAUUUAUCACCUUCAAUUUGCUCAUCUUUGUCUAGAGUAUUGCUUCUGCAUUAACUUAAUUAGCUUGCAAGCCACCUACAAAUGGUUUUAAAUAAUGUGUGAGAGUGUGAAUUCGAACGAAUUAAUCAAAUAUGCUGACAGGAGAAACAAAAGUAAAUAACCACAAGAAGUAGAAAUAUACUUUUGUUAUAUUCAGAGCAUCUUCUUGCGUCAAGUUCUUUUCCUUUAGCUCUGUUUCUGUUUGUGCUCAAACGCAAUGGCUCAAGGGUCAAGAUAAUUUUAUGACCAUCAAUCUUUUUGCAGCCACAUGCAGACUUGAAAAACAGGUCGUGGCCCUAAGGAACUUGAAAAUUAGAAAAGAUUCAGAAUGAGUGACUAAAUAUUAUAAUCGAAACUAAUUAAACAUACACGCCUAGAAAAUCUGAAACUGAACUUCUCAAAUGUAUAUGCCUCUUCGCAGCAAUUGCUUGUGGUGGAACUUUACUGCAAGGACUUUCUCAAACCCUUGAAGAUCACACUCUACCUGAUAACAAAGAAACAUAGUCAAUAUACGAAGAUGAUUUUACUAACAAGUGAGUGCUUACACAUAUUGGAAGGAUAAUGAUUACUCAUAACCCAAAUCCCCAACACUCCCUAAUAUCUCACUCAAGUGAGUUCGAGCCCCCAGAAUUCACUACUGUGAAACUCUUACAACAAAAUUCCCUUCAAAGAUUCUCUACUCAAAUUUGAUGAUGAUGUCCCUCGAAAGGAGGCAAAAAAUCUAACACUGAUCAAAUUGGCUUGUGAACAAUUAAUCUUCCUGCGAUCAUGCAUACCAGGUGUGGUGAGCAAUCUUCAUUCUGACAUUUGCCUUAAUAAGCGGCUUAGUAUCCUUAACUUGAUAACUUACACAAACAAAAACAACUUGAUUAAAGUUUAAUAUUUAGAGGCAGAACAGUAAAGAAGAUGAUAUAUAUUGAUACUAAAAUUUGACCUGUGUUAUCCUGACGUCAAGAAUCACAGCAUCUCAUGUGGGCAGAAUCUUUGCAGUACAAGAUGCUUGCAAAAUUGAAGCAGCAUCUUAUCACCUGUAAUUUAAUUAAGACAAUAACUUUCCCCAACCAUUUCAAUGCAUUAUUGCCAACUAAAUUCAGAGGGUGCUAAUUAAAUAGCCUUUGAACAAUAUAUUCUAAUUCUUCUCCAAUCUAACAAUUAUUUGGAAAAUCUAAAUUACAAUCAUGCAUCGAUGGCAUCAAAAUUUGGCUACAAAGCAGCCUGGAAAAGGCUUUACUCUCUGAAUGAGAGCAUGAAUGAAGAAACAAAUAUCAUGAAUGAAGAAACAAAGGCAUAAUACCACAAAAAAUAAAACUUUUUCCCAGGCUCUCUGUUUCUGUUUGAACUAAAACCAAUGGAAACCGAUGGAAAUGAAUUUCUAGGAAUUAGACAUAUCAGCCAAAACAGUUACUCUGUACAAGCAAAGUAAAAUAGGGUUACAAAAAAUUUUAAGAUUGAUAUGAUAAUUAAAAUUUCAGUCACCAUAUAAUUAAUAGAAAACUUUGGACACAAUGAUUUAUUGCAUAUUAAAUCAAAUUUGUGGAAAUUAUCGGCUGUAGUUACCUGGACAAUAUUGCCAACACCAAACUCCUUCCUCAAUUGAAACCUACGAUCAGCCCACAAAUGCUUUGCUUUGUAGCUUUUUAGAGCCUGAAAUUGUUAUCACAACCAACAGUGAAAAUUGGGUGAAAAAAUUGAUAAUAUUAGCUUAAUUCCAUAUGUUUAUAUAGGAUAAACCGAUCAAAGAAUGAAAAAAGAUAGAAACAGAGCAGACCCAGCCAUCACUUUCUUCUUCAAAGUCGCACAAUAACCACAGUGGUAGUCGUUCCACUGCCAGCCUAAUCCUUGGUCACCCCAAUGUUCACCUUGAAGUAUUCAAAGUCAACCUAAAAAUAAAUAAAAAUGCAAUGCAGGUGGAAAUAAAAAUUCUAUAAAUAAAAUAAAAUAAAAAUGCAAUGCUUGAGCUUGAGCUUGCUUUAGCAUCAUCGUAAUAGUAAAUUUUGAUAUAUCUUUACUUCUCUGUUCUUGUUUAUUCACAACAAGAUAUCAAUAGAAGAAGAUGGAAAUGAAAUUCUAUAAAAUAAAGCAAGUGAAUUACCAG